UACGUAGGGUGCGAGCGUUGUUCGGAAUUACUGGGCGUAAAGGGCUCGUAGGCGGCCAACUAAGUCGGAUGUGAAAUCCCCAGGCUUAACCUGGGAACUGCAUCCGAUACUGGAUGGCUUGAAUCCGGGAGAGGGAUGCAGAAUUCCAGGUGUGGCGGUGAAAUGCGUAGAUAUCUGGAGGAACACCGGUGGCGAAGGCGGCAUCCUGGACCGGCAUUGACGCUGAGGCGCGAAAGCCAGGGGAGCAAACGGG
RNAcentral lists this ribosomal RNA (253 nucleotides) under uncultured bacterium. RNAcentral's name for it is "partial 16S ribosomal RNA". It matches the Rfam family "Bacterial small subunit ribosomal RNA", at positions 524 to 776 of the family's 1533-position model. The record is from RNAcentral.